Molecule: unclassified non-coding RNA, 1048 nt
Filed under: Melitaea cinxia (Glanville fritillary)
Lineage: Eukaryota; Metazoa; Arthropoda; Insecta; Lepidoptera; Nymphalidae
Description: misc RNA ENSMCXG00005006989.1
Source: RNAcentral
UAGUGGUUUAAACAAUUUACUUAAUUUAGCAUGAAGAGGCGUUUUCUUUUUGUUCAAAAAAGAAAUUUACUUGCUGCACUUUACUAUAUAUUGUGUUAUUUAGAUUUAAUGUUAUUAACAUAUUUAUCUUUCACGCUUAACCCGUUUCACACAAAAAUCCUCUUAACAGCUGUCCCGGCGCAAAUAAAAAAAAACCUUCGUCAAAUCCAUUCCGGGUAACAGGUAAACGCGAUGUAUUCAAUGAAAAAAAAAAUGACGUGCUCGUGGUCUACCGACCGUAUAUUUCAAAAGACGUAGAUGCGAAGGCUUUUAUCCAAAAAAUCCUUUGUCGGAGCGCAAAUGAAUUUUUUUCAUGGAUCUCGGUGCGAACAUUUUUCCUCUGUUCCAAAGCAGCGAUUGCAAUCGAAUUUAAACGUCCGCCAUUAACUCAUCUUCCGACCUAUCAAUUAGAGCCUUCGUACCGGUUCCAUGUUCCUCUCGUGAAAAAAAUAUCUGAAGAGUUGCUGGACGAACAUUUUACUGGACAUAAGUACAAUAUACAGAUCAGACAGGACAGGACAUUUUGAACGGAAUAUUAUGAUAGGGAUUCAACUUUAUCUCAAAAAGUGAAUCUCUGGAAUGAAAUCUGGAAUUAAUCUGGAAUGAAAACCUCUGGUUUUCUACGUGACAUUGGCGAAAUCAUUUGUGCUCAUUUGGUACUAUUGAAAGCCAUUAACCCUGAACAAGAAGAAGAUCUCAAAAAGUGAAAUCACAGAACAUGGUCAAGGAAAAAUGGUUACUGCAGAAAUAUCCUGCUCAAAAUCUGCAGCAGUCUGACUGGAGAAGUAUCUCGACCUUACAGAAGAUUAUUUUACCGUCACACAACGCUUCAAGAUCUUCAUAGUACAAUUAAUUUAAUCAACAGAGAUUUAGCUAACAUUUCUUCCCUAAGAUCUUCGAGGAGACUAAUGUUAAAAUUGCCUGUUCAUAAAACAAAAUUUUUCAGUCAGUCUUUCACCAUUCGGGCAAUUAAGCUAUGGAAUAAUUUACCAUUAUGUAUCAAAGAAGC